ACCCGUCUUGAAGCACGGACCAAGGAGUCUAACAUGUGCGCGAGUCAUUGGGCCUAACGAAACCCAAAGGCGUAUUGAACGAAAAGGUCGACCUUGUGUCGGCUUAGGGAGGAUGGGGGCGCGCUCGCGUGCCUCCCGCACUCCCGGGGCGUCUCGUCCUACCUCCGCUUGUCGGUCGAAGGAGAGGCGCACCAAGAGCGCACACGUUGGGACCCGAAAGAUGGUGAACUAUGCCUGGCCAGGACGAAGUCAGGGGAAACCCUGAUGGAGGUCCGUAGCGAUUCUGACGUGCAAAUCGAUCGUCGGAGCUGGGUAUAGGGGCGAAAGACUAAUCGAACCAUCUAGUAGCUGGUUCCCUCCGAAGUUUCCCUCAGGAUAGCUGGUGCUCGAUGAACCGAGUCCCAUCCGGUAAAGCGAAUGAUUAGAGGCCUUGGGGUCGAAACGAUCUCAACCUAUUCUCAAACUUUAAAUGGGUGGGAUCCGCGGCUUGUUUGUGUGACUAAAGCCGCGGAAUCCGGAUCGGAGUGCCCAGUGGGCCACUUUUGGUAAGCAGAACUGGC
Molecule: ribosomal RNA, 560 nt
Filed under: Nesameletus ornatus
Lineage: Eukaryota; Metazoa; Arthropoda; Insecta; Ephemeroptera; Nesameletidae
Description: eukaryotic LSU rRNA
Rfam family: Eukaryotic large subunit ribosomal RNA
Source: RNAcentral